CCUGCGGGAGGCAGCAGUGGGGAAUAUUGCACAAUGGGCGAAAGCCUGAUGCAGCAACGCCGCGUGAGCGAUGAAGGCUUUCGGGUCGUAAAGCCCUGUCCUCAAGGAAGAUAACGACGGUACUCGUGGUGGAAGCUCCGGCUAUCAACGUGUCAGCAGCCGCGGUAUUACGUAGGGGGCUAGCGUUAUCAGGAAUUACUGGGAGUAAAGGGUGCGUGGGUGGAUGCUUACGUCAGUGAUGAAAGGGUACGGCUCAACCGUAGUAAGCAUUUGAAACUGGGAGACUUGAGUGCAGGAGAGGAGAGUGGAAUUCCUAGUGUAGCGGUGAAAUGCGUAGAUAUUAGGAGGAACACCAGUUGCGAAGGCGGCUCUCUGGACUGUAACUGACACUGAGGCACGAAAGCGUGGGGAGCAAACAGGAUUAGAUACCCCUGUAGUC
This 439-nucleotide ribosomal RNA is filed under the name uncultured bacterium. RNAcentral describes it as "partial 16S ribosomal RNA". It matches the Rfam family "Bacterial small subunit ribosomal RNA", at positions 338 to 795 of the family's 1533-position model. The record is from RNAcentral.